Molecule: long non-coding RNA, 886 nt
Filed under: Androctonus crassicauda
Lineage: Eukaryota; Metazoa; Arthropoda; Arachnida; Scorpiones; Buthidae
Source: RNAcentral
CUCUUGUUCUUUACUGUGCUGUUAGAAAAUUAAUUUGUUCAGUUCACUUUCUUUGAUGUUCUUAUACAAAAUUACCGACUGUUUAAUAGAGUUCAUUUUUUUAGUGUGCUAAUAUAAAGGCAUAUUCCUGAGUUGUCAUCUUAGAUUCCAGACGUAUGGCAUAACUGGAAAAUGUCCAUAAGCCAAAUCAUUGUCAUUUUUUUUACUUAUAAUACAUAUAAUGCAUUAUAUAUAUAUAUAUAUAUACGUAUGUUGUCAUUUACGUACAUAAUUAACUUAGAUGAAGCAUUUAUAAUUAAAAUUAAUAUUGUAGACUUUAUUUUGAAAAAACAAGAAUUUUUUUUUUUUUUUCAAAAAUUUGCUACUGAAGAGCAAAUUAAACACUGAAACUUUGGGGAAUGAUGGCAGUUCAAAAUGUACGUAAAUCGGGGUAUGACUGUACAGCUUCUUUGUAUCAGUACUAUAUUUCACGUUUUUGAUUAACAUACAAAAUUAUUGACUUUAUUCAGUAAUACAUUUUCUUUGUUAUGCUGAUUGAAAAUUACUGAUUGUUCAUUUGCUCACUUUCUUUUGUGUGCUCAUUCAAAAUUUCUAAAUGCCCAAUAACUCACUUUAGAUAGUAAAUGAAAGAGAAAGAGGCUCUACUCAUAGGUGUAACCCAAUAAUUAAUUUUAAUAUGUUAAUACAAUUUUCUAUCAGCACAUCAAAGAAAUUGAAUUGGUGGAGAAAGUCGGUAAUUUUCUAUCAGUACAAACAAUUAAGCAUUUAUCUCUCUUGAGAUUCCUAGCUGCUAAGAUACUUGACUUUCAGUGUUUGUAAAUUAAAUAAAAUAAAUUUUGGGUUCACUAAGUACAACAGAGAAAGUAAAUCAGCAGUUUUAUAUCAG